Molecule: ribosomal RNA, 308 nt
Filed under: uncultured bacterium
Lineage: Bacteria
Description: partial 16S ribosomal RNA
Rfam family: Bacterial small subunit ribosomal RNA
Source: RNAcentral
GAGACAGCAGUCGCCGCGGUAAUACGAAGGGUGCAAGCGUUAAUCGGAAUUACUGGGCGUAAAGCGUGCGUAGGCGGUUUGUUAAGUCUGUUGUGAAAUCCCCGGGCUCAACCUGGGAAUGGCAAUGGAUACUGGCAAGCUAGAGUGUGUCAGAGGAUGGUGGAAUUCCCGGUGUAGCGGUGAAAUGCGUAGAGAUCGGGAGGAACAUCAGUGGCGAAGGCGGCCAUCUGGGACAACACUGACGCUGAGGCACGAAAGCGUGGGGAGCAAACAGGAUUAGAUACCCGGGUAGUCCCUGUCUCUUAUAA